RNAcentral lists this ribosomal RNA (219 nucleotides) under uncultured bacterium. RNAcentral describes it as "partial 16S ribosomal RNA". It matches the Rfam family "Bacterial small subunit ribosomal RNA", at positions 116 to 334 of the family's 1533-position model. The record is from RNAcentral.
CGUAGGAACCUGUCACGCAGUGGGGGAGUAACGCUGGGAAACCGGCGCGUAAUACCGCAUGAGGUUGUCAUGGGAGACCAUGGCAAAGAAAGCAGCAAUGCGCUGUGUGAGGGGCCUGCGACCGAUUAGCUAGUUGGUGGGGUAAGGGCCUACCAAGGCGACGAUCGGUAGCUGGUCUGAGAGGAUGGUCAGCCACACUGGGACUGAGACACGGCCCAG